UACAAUUGGCCCAGCGUUGUCCUGGUUUGGCUGGUGUAGGCUGUCAUUGUAAAUAAGAAUUUGUUCUUAACUGAAUGGUCUAGGUAAAAUUAAGCAAUUUAAAAUAAAUCUAAACCUAAGAAAUUUACAGAGCAAGGCAGUUAACCCGCAACAACUGCUCCCUGGGUGGCAAAAAUUCAUCUUCAUUAUUCUCCAUUUUGCUCCACCUCCACUUCCUGGAGGAGCCAGGUGGGGCCACAGAGCAGGCUCCUCCAUCUACUCCUGCCAACUCUGUCAGUUCACCAGACCCCACAAUCCAGCCUCCACACCAUUGCAGUAACAGCCAUAUCUUCACGUCACAAAGCUUCAGUACUAUCUGAAUGUGUUGAAGUACCAUCCAGCAUCCUGUGGCAACCUCAAUGUGAAUCAAAUCAAAUAAACUAGAAUAUACAUCCGCUCUGACCCGUGAAUCCGCACUGACCCGUGAUCACCACCGACCCGGGCUCUACAGAGGUAGCCUUGGACGCCCAGGCUUUGCACACGUUCAAGGACACGAGAUUUAGAAGAAUCCCAGUGAGCAAAAUUAAUGUCCUCCCGAGACCACCACAAGGAUGACUCUCAGCACACCAGACCGCAGGGACCGAUAAGAUGUGAUUGGAUGUUCAGCAGGAUGUGGACCUCGCCACGUCAUCUGGCCACAGAGAUAAAGGCUAAUGGAUCUGACAGAGAUAGUUUUUUGUUUGAUUUGUUUUGAUUUGUUUUGAUUUGAUGUAAUAUUCUAUAUUAAAAAAGAGACAAACAUA
Molecule: long non-coding RNA, 782 nt
Organism: Salvelinus sp. IW2-2015
Lineage: Eukaryota; Metazoa; Chordata; Actinopteri; Salmoniformes; Salmonidae
Source: RefSeq, a predicted model, not a curated record